This 484-nucleotide ribosomal RNA is filed under the name uncultured bacterium. RNAcentral's name for it is "partial 16S ribosomal RNA". It matches the Rfam family "Bacterial small subunit ribosomal RNA", at positions 30 to 507 of the family's 1533-position model. The record is from RNAcentral.
AUUGAACGCUGGCGGCAGGCCUAACACAUGCAAGUCGAGCGGAUGAAGGGAGCUUGCUCCUGGAUUCAGCGGCGGACGGGUGAGUAAUGCCUAGGAAUCUGCCUGGUAGUGGGGGAUAACGUCCGGAAACGGGCGCUAAUACCGCAUACGUCCUGAGGGAGAAAGUGGGGGAUCUUCGGACCUCAUGCUCUCAGAUGAGCCUAGGUCGGAUUAGCUAGUUGGUGGGGUAAAGGCCUACCAAGGCGACGAUCCGUAACUGGUCUGAGAGGAUGAUCAGUCACACUGGAACUGAGCCACGGUCCAGACUCCUACGGGAGGCAGCAGUGGGGAAUAUUGGACAAUGAGCGAAAGCCUGAUCCAGCCAUGCCGCGUGUGUGAAGAAGGUCUUCGGAUUGUAAAGCACUUUAAGUUGGGAGGAAGGGCAGUAAGUUAAUACCUUGCUGUUUUGACGUUACCAACAGAAUAAGCACCGGCUAACUUCGUG